Molecule: long non-coding RNA, 745 nt
Filed under: Homo sapiens (human)
Lineage: Eukaryota; Metazoa; Chordata; Mammalia; Primates; Hominidae
Description: HSALNT0284069
Source: RNAcentral
CCAGUCUCUCAGCAGUACUUAAACAGGUCAGAAAGUUGCCAGCAGUUCCAAUCUAUUAUUUUUAUCUCAAAGGAAAAAUCAGCAGUAGAGUGGCUUCCCUCCUUCGACUCAGUUUCAGGGAAGGGGUGAGAACACCCUGUGAAGAGGAAGGCAGAGAUUGGAAUGAUGCAGAAGAAGCCAACGAAUCUAGGAGAGAGGCAUGAAUUUCCCCUUCAUAGUCCUUGUAAGGAGCCAACCCUGCUGCACCUUUAUCUCAAAUGUCCAGCUUCCAGAACUGCAAGACAGUAAAUUUCUGCUGUUUAAGACAAAAAAAAAAAAAGUUAAGCUUUAUAUGCACAAAGCAAGACAUUACUUAUAUUAAAUGUUGUAUCUGUGAUCUUUACAACAUUUGUCAAAUAGUCUAUUAGCCAAUCAGUUGGUAGGCAGAAGUAUCUAAAUCACAUAAAAUAAUUGUGCCUAAAUAAUUCUGGUAACUUAUGUAUAAUCCGUUGAACAUCUUGACAAUCACUAAUUUAACUAAUGCAAGUUUGUCAAAUAGGGGAACUGGGGAUCCUGAUACUAAUAUAAUUUUAGAAGAUGAACAACAGUAAAGCAUUUAUGGACUGAGAGCUUAAUGUGUUUAUUUCUUUUAAAAUUUUACAAACUGCUGGGUGUGUUGGCUUAUGCCUCUAAUCUCAGCACUUUGGGAGACUGAGGCAGGUGAAUUGCUUGAGCCCAGGAGUUCACGACCAGCUUGGGCAACGUA